GGGACCCAGGGAGAGACGUAAG
This 22-nucleotide microRNA is filed under the name Macaca mulatta (Rhesus monkey). RNAcentral's name for it is "mml-miR-711". Its record names the gene mml-miR-711. The record is from miRBase by way of RNAcentral. RNAcentral also lists the same sequence under 3 other names. Lineage: Eukaryota; Metazoa; Chordata; Mammalia; Primates; Cercopithecidae.